RNAcentral lists this ribosomal RNA (251 nucleotides) under uncultured bacterium. RNAcentral's name for it is "partial 16S ribosomal RNA". It matches the Rfam family "Bacterial small subunit ribosomal RNA", at positions 524 to 774 of the family's 1533-position model. The record is from RNAcentral.
UACAUAGGGGGCAAGCGUUAUCCGGAAUUAUUGGGUGUAAAGGGUGCGUAGACGGAGAAACAAGUUGGUUGUGAAAUCCCUCGGCUCAACUGAGGAACUGCAACCAAAACUAUUUCCCUUGAGUGUCGGAGAGGAAAGUGGAAUUCCUAGUGUAGCGGUGAAAUGCGUAGAGAUCGGGAGGAACACCAAUGGCGAAGGCGGCCUACUGGGCCGUUACUGACGCUGAGGAGCGAAAGCGUGGGGAGCGAACA